UUUAUGGAGAGUUUGAUCCUGGCUCAGGAUGAACGCUGGCGGCGUGCUUAACACAUGCAAGUCGAACGGUGAACGAGGGAGCUUGCUCCCUCCGGAUCAGUGGCGAACGGGUGAGUAACACGUGAGCAAUCUGCCCCGAACUCUGGGAUAAGCGUUGGAAACGACGUCUAAUACCGGAUACGAGCUGCGAAGGCAUCUUCUGCAGUUGGCGACGGGUAGCCGGCCUGAGAGGGUGACCGGCCACACUGGGACUGAGACACGGCCCAGACUCCUACGGGAGGCAGCAGUGGGGAAUAUUGCACAAUGGGCGCAAGCCUGAUGCAGCAACGCCGCGUGAGGGACGACGGCCUUCGGGUUGUAAACCUCUUUUAGUAGGGAAGAAGCGAAAGUGACGGUACCUGCAGAAAAAGCACCGGCUAACUACGUGCCAGCAGCCGCGGUAAUACGUAGGGUGCAAGCGUUAUCCGGAAUUAUUGGGCGUAAAGAGCUCGUAGGCGGUUUGUCACGUCUGCUGUGAAAACUGGAGGCUCAACCUCCAGCCUGCAGUGGGUACGGGCAGACUAGAGUGCGGUAGGGGAGAUUGGAAUUCCUGGUGUAGCGGUGGAAUGCGCAGAUAUCAGGAGGAACACCGAUGGCGAAGGCAGAUCUCUGGGCCGUAACUGACGCUGAGGAGCGAAAGCAUGGGGAGCGAACAGGAUUAGAUACCCUGGUAGUCCAUGCCGUAAACGUUGGGAACUAGAUGUAGGGACCAUUCCACGGUUUCUGUGUCGCAGCUAACGCAUUAAGUUCCCCGCCUGGGGAGUACGGCCGCAAGGCUAAAACUCAAAGGAAUUGACGGGGGCCCGCACAAGCGGCGGAGCAUGCGGAUUAAUUCGAUGCAACGCGAAGAACCUUACCAAGGCUUGACAUACACGAGAACGGGCCAGAAAUGGUCAACUCUUUGGACACUCGUGAACAGGUGGUGCAUGGUUGUCGUCAGCUCGUGUCGUGAGAUGUUGGGUUAAGUCCCGCAACGAGCGCAACCCUCGUUCUAUGUUGCCAGCACGUAAUGGUGGGAACUCAUAGGAGACUGCCGGGGUCAACUCGGAGGAAGGUGGGGAUGACGUCAAAUCAUCAUGCCCCUUAUGUCUUGGGCUUCACGCAUGCUACAAUGGCCGAUACAAAGGGCUGCAAUACCGUAAGGUGGAGCGAAUCCCAAAAAGUCGGUCUCAGUUCGGAUUGAGGUCUGCAACUCGACCUCAUGAAGUCGGAGUCGCUAGUAAUCGCAGAUCAGCAACGCUGCGGUGAAUACGUUCCCGGGCCUUGUACACACCGCCCGUCAAGUCAUGAAAGUCGGUAACACCCGAAGCCAGUGGCCCAACCGCAAGGAGGGAGCUGUCGAAGGUGGGAUCGGUGAUUAGGACUAAGUCGUAACAAGGUAGCCGUACCGGAAGGUGCGGCUGGAUCACCUCCUUU
Molecule: ribosomal RNA, 1455 nt
Filed under: Leifsonia sp.
Lineage: Bacteria; Bacillati; Actinomycetota; Actinomycetes; Micrococcales; Microbacteriaceae
Description: bacterial SSU rRNA
Rfam family: Bacterial small subunit ribosomal RNA
Source: RNAcentral